Molecule: ribosomal RNA, 254 nt
Filed under: uncultured bacterium
Lineage: Bacteria
Description: partial 16S ribosomal RNA
Rfam family: Bacterial small subunit ribosomal RNA
Source: RNAcentral
UACGAAGGGGGCAAGCGUUAUUCGGAAUAACUGGGCGUAAAGGACGCGUAGGCGGUUUGCUAAGUCAGCUGUUAAAUUUCAGGGCCUAACCCUGAGUGUGCAGAUGAUACUGGCGGAACUAGAGUAUGGAAGAGAGGGGUGGAAUUCUUGGAGUAGCGGUAAAAUGCGUAGAUCUCAAGAGGAACACCGAUGGCGAAGGCAGCCCCUUGGUCCAAUACUGACGCUGAGGCGUGAAAGCGUGGGGAGCAAACAGG